This 2485-nucleotide long non-coding RNA is filed under the name Homo sapiens (human). RNAcentral describes it as "HSALNT0233138". Lineage: Eukaryota; Metazoa; Chordata; Mammalia; Primates; Hominidae. The record is from RNAcentral.
CCCAUCUCUACUAAAAAUACAAAAAUUAGGCAGUGUGGGGGCACGAGCCUGUAGGCCCAGCUACUCAGGAGGCUGAGGCAGGAGAAUCACUUGAACUUGGGAGGUGGAGGUUGCAGUGAGCCGAGAUAUCGCGCCACUGCACUGCAGUCUGGGUGACAGAGGGAGACUCUUGUCUCAAGGAAAAAAAAAAGUGUUUUUCAAAAGCCUUUUAUAUUUUUUUUAUUUUUGAGACAGGGUCUCGCUUUGUUGCUCAGGCUGGAGUACGGUAUGGACACAAUCAUAGCUCACUGCAGGUUCAACCUCCAUGGGCUAAGGUGAUCAUGCCACCUCAGCCUCCCAGUAGCUGGGACCACAAGUGAGCACCACCCUACGCUUGGCUACUUUUUGCAUUUUUUUUGUAGAGAUGGGGCUUCACCAUAUUGUCCAAGCUGGUCUCGAACUCCUGAGCUCAAGCCAUCCGCCCACUUCAGCCUCCCAAAAUGCUGGGAUUACAGGUGUGAGCCACCACACCUGGCUGUAAGAGUCUGUUUCUUGAGGCAUUAUACAUUACCUUUUCCAGAUUUCAUGAGUAGAAGCUCUUUAUUGACUGACUACACAAAAAGGAAAGAUCUUGUUGCAGAACUAAAGUUUCAGCUCAUGCUGGGGAACAGCAGUGGUGAAUAAUUGUUUAAUUAAAGGGAUAGUAGGCAUAAGCAUUGCUAUUUACUUCUUCAUUCUGGCAACAGUAGUUCCUCUUUCAAAAGGGAAAACAUAAAAAAAAAAACCCAUCCGCCCAAAAGUUUCAGGGGCUAAUUUAUGAUGUAACUACCUUUAAUGGUUCCCAUGAUUUAAGAUCCAAUUCAGUAGUGACAACCAGUUGAUUUUUUUCAAAUCAUGUAGUGCCAUUAACAUUUUAUACUUUGUUUCAAAGGUCACAUAUUGAUGUUCUCCCCCAGUUCAAGGCACUGUGCAUUAUGUAUGCCAAGGGUUAUGUAACUACAAUUUCUGGAAAUGGUAAACAGCUGAGACUAACCCUAAAAAUAAAUUCCUCUGGGAUUUUUUUUGUGCGAAAAUCCAUCUGCCCUCACUGCAGGUUCAUCAUUACAAAAAUCACUGUUUAGCUCAAACCAAGAGACAGAGAAGUCAUCAUGAUCUCUCCUUUCUGUCUCCUUCCUGUAGCAGCUGUGCUUCCCCUCUCUGGUAUGUACACACGCACACACCUUCUUUAUGCCAGGAGCUUUUCCAGAUCUUCACUACAAAAUGGGAAGUCUGGAGAAGGGAAGCUCAUGCCUAUCAGAUGUUGGGAGAGGAAGCAGAUGAGACUUAUAUUUACUUAUUUAUAUCUAGUACGCACUCCAGUGAUCCACAAAGUCAUCUUUGGGCCUAAAUCCCUUGUUAUUCUACCAAUAGGUUAAGCAGAUUUGGAUAUUCCUAAUUUUGGUUCCAAAUAAACAGGCAGUGUUUACCUAGCUUCAAAGUUUGGAGAAUUUUUCUGUGAACAUUUUGAUAUUUUUCAAAUAUGGGGACAAUUGAAUUGACAAUUGAAGACAUAGGAUAGAAAACCCUUAAAAGUGAUAAAAAUUAAUUUGGUGCUUCUGAAUUGAAAUUCAGAUCUGAAUACUAUUUGUUGUAUUGUUAAAUGUCUAUUACUGGCUAAACUUUUCUAUUUUCCUCUAAUUACAUGAAGGUGCCAACUAAAUUUAAUAUUAGAAACAACUAUGAAUUUUAACUAACUCAUACAUAAGAUUAUAGAAAUGUUGCUUAUCAAACAGUACCAAAGGGCACUUCUGCAUAAACUAGAUAACUGCCAGGGCCUACACCCUUCCCCUUUUCAAUCGGGACUAUCACACUCUCCCCUUUCUCAAUCAAGGGACUGUCAGGGAUCAUCAGAAUAACAGAAAACCUAAAGCUACCAACCUCCAAAACACAGAGUUGACAGCCAGGCACAGUGACUCACGCCUGUAAUCCCAGAACUUUGGGAGGCAGAGGCUAGUGGAUCACUUGAGCCCAGGAGUUUGAGACUAGCUUGGGCAACAUAGUGAGACCCUGUCUCUACCAAAGGAAAAAAAAAAAUACAAAAAUUAGCCAGGCAUGGUGGUGCAUGCCAGUAGUCCCAGCUACUAGAACGGCUGAGGUGGGAGGACUGCCUGAACCAGGGCAGUCAAAGCUGAAGUGAUCAGUGACCGCACCACUGCACUCCAGCUGGGUGACACAGCGAGACUCUGUCUUAAAAAAAGACAAGCCAGGUGCGGUGGCUUACGCCUGUAAUCCCCGCACUUUGGGAAGUUGAGGCAAGAGGAUUGCUUGAGGCCAAGAGUUCAAGACCAGCCUAGGCAACAUAGCAAGACCACAUCCCUACAAAAGUUAAUAUAUACAAAAUACACAGUUCAUAUAAAAUAGACCAUGAAAUAUAACUCAUUUUGACUGGUCAAGCCUUCCUCUGCCCAGUCACAGAUACACUUGAAAAAUUCACAAAAAGCAGCUUAUAAAGAAAACCCAUAACCAC